This 448-nucleotide ribosomal RNA is filed under the name uncultured bacterium. Its description in RNAcentral is "bacterial SSU rRNA". It matches the Rfam family "Bacterial small subunit ribosomal RNA", at positions 328 to 793 of the family's 1533-position model. The record is from RNAcentral.
AGACCAGACUCCUACGGGAGGCAGCAGUGGGGAAUAUUGCACAAUGGGGGGAACCCUGAUGCAGCGACGCCGCGUGGGUGAAGGAGCACCUCGGUGCGUAAAGCCCUAUCGGCAGGGAAGAAACAGACGGUACCUGACUAAGAAGCCCCGGCUAACUACGUGCCAGCAGCCGCGGUAAUACGUAGGGGGCAAGCGUUAUCCGGAUUCACUGGGUGUAAAGGGAGCGUAGACGGCCAUGCAAGCCUGGAGUGAAAGCCCGGGGCCCAACCCCGGGACUGCUCUGGGAACUGUGCGGCUGGAGUGCGGGAGGGGCAGGCGGAAUUCCUGGUGUAGCGGUGAAAUGCGUAGAUAUCAGGAGGAACACCGGCGGCGAAGGCGGCCUGCUGGACCGCGACUGACGUUGAGGCUCGAAAGCGUGGGGAGCAAACAGGAUUAGAUACCCUCGUAA